RNAcentral lists this small RNA (1149 nucleotides) under Arabidopsis thaliana (thale cress). RNAcentral's name for it is "ATSL214990". Lineage: Eukaryota; Viridiplantae; Streptophyta; Magnoliopsida; Brassicales; Brassicaceae. The record is from RNAcentral.
AAUAAAAAAGGGAUAUGUACAAGCAAUUAAAAAAUAUAAACUGGGAACCGUGUAUAUAUAUAUAUAUAUAUAUUUGGGUAAUAUUAGAAACUAACUAUAGAAUUGAAAAGAAUAAAGUAACUAACCAUUGUCAGUUUUUCUAUGGAUAAAUAACUAUAUAACGGCAUAAGAAAAUACAAAACUAUCCUUGCAAGUUGAACCAAAAGCAAGCUUAUGUAGAUAUAUUUGAUGUUUUUUAGUAAAUCGCAUGAAACAUGUUAAAAUAGCACGAUAUUUAUAAAAACGAUGAUAUUUUAUAACGUACAUUUUACACAAAUAGCAUGUUAUAUAAACAAAUAUCGUUUCGUUUGAAAAGUUGAACCAUGAGCAAGCUUACACGAAGAUAAAAUAAUAGAUUUGAGAAAGUUUUAACAUUUAAAUCAUGUUUUUAGAAGAAAUUACAUGUGAUUUUAAUAAAUAAUGUGUUAUAUGAAAAAGUAGCAUGUUGAGAGAGAGAGAUUUCUAGUUAUCACGUGUAAUUCGAAAAAGUAGCGUGGUAUAAAAGAAAAUAACAUACAAUUUAAAAAGAAAACAUAACGACGGAGAUUCCAAGAAAUAAUCAAAAUCAAAUAAAAAAAUGACAAAUCUUCUGCAAAUUGAAGGAGAGAUGAUCUAUCAAUAUAAAUAACGUUUGGCAGCCUAGAUUUAUCGAAAAAGAGAUCAGGUGGUUGUGAUGGUGGAAGAUGUGGUAGUUGUGGUGGUGGAAGAAAGAAAGAUGAGAUGAUUCUAAGUGUUUUAUAUGAUUUUGAAAAAUAGCAUGUAAUAUAUAUAUAUAAUACGAAAAUGGGUAAAAAGGUAAUUGCAAGUGAAGAAAGAGAGUGUGCUCUGACACCAUGGCUAUUUUGUUAGUUCUUUUACAAUCCAUAGUCAUCUAGUGCAUAUUCUCUAUAUUAAACCGUCUUUUAUGUUUAAAAGAGUUUUUUUAAGUAUUUCAUUUUAACUAAUGUGAAACUCUCCUUCUUUCCAAAAUUAGACCACCUUCUUCAUUUUUAUUUGCUAUUUUCUUCAUCUACGUAACUAUCGUCAACGGCAUCCGUAUUCUCUGUUAGAACAUGAAAUAAAAUAAAUAAGAUUUACGCUUCUUGACUACAAACUUAUUGAGUUACUUUU